UAGUGCCUGGAUCUGUCUCUCAACUGGUUCCAAACUCAGAAAAUAGACCCAAGCGUGACUAACCAUCAGUGCGAAAGCCAACAGACUGUGCUGAGUAGAGGCCUCGGUGCUGCAGAGUGUGAGAAUCUGGACUCUCUCAGCUUGUGAGCCCUAGCAAUCCUGCCCUGCACUGCGCUCUCUGAAAGAAGCCUGACUUUAUCAAGAAGCCCA
Molecule: long non-coding RNA, 210 nt
Filed under: Fukomys damarensis (Damara mole-rat)
Lineage: Eukaryota; Metazoa; Chordata; Mammalia; Rodentia; Bathyergidae
Description: lncRNA (ENSFDAG00000032997.1)
Source: RNAcentral